This 465-nucleotide ribosomal RNA is filed under the name uncultured Klebsiella sp. RNAcentral's name for it is "bacterial SSU rRNA". It matches the Rfam family "Bacterial small subunit ribosomal RNA", at positions 338 to 795 of the family's 1533-position model. The record is from RNAcentral. Lineage: Bacteria; Pseudomonadati; Pseudomonadota; Gammaproteobacteria; Enterobacterales; Enterobacteriaceae.
CCUACGGGCGGCUGCAGUGGGGAAUAUUGCACAAUGGGCGCAAGCCUGAUGCAGCCAUGCCGCGUGUGUGAAGAAGGCCUUUGGGUUGUAAAGCACUUUCAGCGGGGAGGAAGGCGGUGAGGUUAAUAACCUCAUCGAUUGACGUUACCCGCAGAAGAAGCACCGGCUAACUCCGUGCCAGCAGCCGCGGUAAUACGGAGGGUGCAAGCGUUGAUCGGAAUUACUGGGCGUAAAGCGCACGCAGGCGGUCUGUCAAGUCGGAUGUGAAAUCCCCGGGCUCAACCUGGGAACUGCAUUCGAAACUGGCAGGCUAGAGUCUUGUAGAGGGGGGUAGAAUUCCAGGUGUAGCGGUGAAAUGCGUAGAGAUCUGGAGGAAUACCGGUGGCGAAGGCGGCCCCCUGGACAAAGACUGACGCUCAGGUGCGAAAGCGUGGGGAGCAAACAGGAUUAGAUACCCGGGUAGUC